Molecule: ribosomal RNA, 497 nt
Filed under: uncultured bacterium
Lineage: Bacteria
Description: partial 16S ribosomal RNA
Rfam family: Bacterial small subunit ribosomal RNA
Source: RNAcentral
GAUGAACGCUGGCGGCGUGCCUAAUACAUGCAAGUCGAGCGAACGGACGAGAAGCUUGCUUCUCUGAUGUUAGCGGCGGACGGGUGAGUAACAUGUGGAUAACCUACCUAUAAGACUGGGAUAACUUCGGGAAACCGGAGCUAAUACCGGAUAAUAUUUUGAACCGCAUGGUUCAAAAGUGAAAGACGGUCUUGCUGUCACUUAUAGAUGGAUCCGCGCUGCAUUAGCUAGUUGGUAAGGUAACGGCUUACCAAGGCAACGAUGCAUAGCCGACCUGAGAGGGUGAUCGGCCACACUGGAACUGAGACACGGUCCAGGCUCCUACGGGAGGCAGCAGUAGGGAAUCUUCCGCAAUGGGCGAAAGCCUGACGGAGCAACGCCGCGUGAGUGAUGAAGGUCUUCGGAUCGUAAAACUCUGUUAUUAGGGAAGAACAUAUGUGUAAGUAACUGUGCACAUCUUGACGGUACCUAAUCAGAAAGCCACGGCUAACUACGUG